AACUCUCCCGUCUUGAUUUAAAAAGUUGUCCUUGACGGAGAAUCCACCACGACCCUGGGUAAAUUGUUCCAAGGUUAAUUCUCCUCACGGUUAAAAAUGUAUGUCUUAUUUCCUGCCUAAAUCUGUCUAGCUUCACCUCCCAGCAAUAGUUCGCGCCAGACCUUUCUCUGCUAGACUGACUGACUCUUAUGAAAUGCUGGUUGUUCCCCAGGUAGGUAAUUACAGACUGGGAUCAAGGCACCCUGGAGCUUCUCUUCGUUAAGGAGUCUCAGCGAGCGGCUGCCAGGACGAGGCGGAGGUGGGGGAAGAUCUGGGGCUUUCCUGACGGAUAAAUCACAGACAGAUUCGAAGAAGGGACACUGUUCCAUGCCGCCAAAGGAAGAAAGGUGGUCAUCGUGCACACCAAGGAACAAGCCCCACAACUCUUGGAAAUGUACCAUGACAGUCCCCGCGGUGGACAUCAAGGAGUUGUCAACAUGAGAACGGUGCUUACCUCAAGGUACUAUUGGCCUGGGAUGACAAAAGACAUCGUUGAAUGGGUCUGUAAUGUAAUUAAACCACACCCUGACCUGUGUCAUUUAAAAUUUCCGAACCACCAAAACAGAAAAUCAACCUUCUGCUGGUGACAUUUGACUCAGAUGAUGGAAAUGAACAUGCGUCGGUCUUCACUGCUUUGGAUUGUUAUCGAGCAGAGCCCGUCAUCAGCAUGGA
This is a long non-coding RNA of Chrysemys picta bellii (western painted turtle), 711 nucleotides long. RefSeq lists it as uncharacterized. The record is from RefSeq and is a predicted model, not a curated record. Lineage: Eukaryota; Metazoa; Chordata; Testudines; Emydidae.